GAUGAACGCUGGCGGCGUGCCUAAUACAUGCAAGUCGAGCGAACAGACGAGGAGCUUGCUCCUCUGACGUUAGCGGCGGACGGGUGAGUAACACGUGGAUAACCUACCUCUAAGACUGGGAUAACUUCGGGAAACCGGAGCUAAUACCGGAUAAUAUAUUGAACCGCAUGGUUCAAUAGUGAAAGACGGUUUUGCUGUCACUUAUAGAUGGAUCCGCGCCGCAUUAGCUAGUUGGUAAGGUAACGGCUUACCAAGGCAACGAUGCGUAGCCGACCUGAGAGGGUGAUCGGCCACACUAGAACUGAGACACGGUCCAGACUCCUACGGGAGGCAGCAGUAGGGAAUCUUCCGCAAUGGGCGAAAGCCUGACGGAGCAACGCCGCGUGAGUGAUGAAGGUCUUCGGAUCGUAAAACUCUGUUAUUAGGGAAGAACAAAUGUGUAAGUAACUAUGCACGUCUUGACGGUACCUAAUCAGAAAGCCACGGCUAACUACGUG
This 497-nucleotide ribosomal RNA is filed under the name uncultured bacterium. Its description in RNAcentral is "partial 16S ribosomal RNA". It matches the Rfam family "Bacterial small subunit ribosomal RNA", at positions 28 to 507 of the family's 1533-position model. The record is from RNAcentral.